Molecule: non-coding RNA, 119 nt
Organism: Pteropus alecto (black flying fox)
Lineage: Eukaryota; Metazoa; Chordata; Mammalia; Chiroptera; Pteropodidae
Source: Rfam
GUCUACAGCCAUGUUACUCUGAACAAGCCCGAUCCUAUCUGAUCUUGGAAGCUAAGCUGGGUCAGGCCUGGUUAGUACUUGCAUGGGAGAUCACCUAGGAAGACCAGGUGCUGUAGGCG